GCCAGGUCUUAGCUUCGCUUCAGCAAAUGCCACAACAGCUUUUUGAAGGUAGAAACAGACUAAAGUCCUCUGUGAUGUGAAUUCCAUUCUCAAGAUUCCCUGAGAAUCCUUGGAGAUCCUGAAAUACCAUUCCCAUCUGCCAGGUUUUGUCGCGGGGCCUGUGAAGACCCUCUCAAAGGCAGAAUCCACACAAUGGCCACUCAAAGCAGAGGGCCAACCUUCUGUGAUUCUACUUCUAACUUCAUUGCCCAGAGCGUCCUGUUGACCCUGACCCCUCAUCCCUUUACAACUAUGUCCACUGUAUAGUUGAGAGAUCUGUAUAUUUGAAGACAUCAGAAACAUACCACUACUGAAGACAUACCACUAUUGAAGAUGUACCAUUUUGGUUUCACUGAUUUAACAUAAUCCAACCCACAAGUACAGAAAAUACCAGCCCAGUGAAAUGACAACCAUCAUGCUUUCUUUACUAUUCAUGUAAUAAUAGAUACCAACCAUCUAUUUGGACCUAGUUUGGCAUUAGGCACUGUGGGGUAUUCCUAAGAAGAAUGUGAGUUGUGGUGUGUGCCUGUAGUCCCAG
RNAcentral lists this long non-coding RNA (577 nucleotides) under Rhinopithecus bieti (black snub-nosed monkey). Its description in RNAcentral is "lncRNA (ENSRBIG00000045858.1)". Lineage: Eukaryota; Metazoa; Chordata; Mammalia; Primates; Cercopithecidae. The record is from RNAcentral.